RNAcentral lists this ribosomal RNA (497 nucleotides) under uncultured bacterium. RNAcentral's name for it is "partial 16S ribosomal RNA". It matches the Rfam family "Bacterial small subunit ribosomal RNA", at positions 28 to 507 of the family's 1533-position model. The record is from RNAcentral.
GAUGAACGCUGGCGGCGUGCCUAAUACAUGCAAGUCGAGCGAACAGACGAGGAGCUUGCUCCUCUGACGUUAGUGGCGGACGGGUGAGUAACACGUGGAUAACCUACCUAUAAGACUGGGAUAACUUCGGGAAACCGGAGCUAAUACCGGAUAAUAUAUUGAACCGCAUGGUUCAAUAGUGAAAGACGGUUUUGCUGUCACUUAUAGAUGGAUCCGCGCCGCAUUAGCUAGUUGGUAAGGUAACGGCUUACCAAGGCAACGAUGCGUAGCCGACCUGAGAGGGUGAUCGGCCACACUGGAACUGAGACACGGUCCAGACUCCUACGGGAGGCAGCAGUAGGGAAUCUUCCGCAAUGGGCGAGAGCCUGACGGAGCAACGCCGCGUGAGUGAUGAAGGUCUUCGGAUCGUAAAACUCUGUUAUUAGGGAAGAACAAAUGUGUAAGUAACUAUGCACGUCUUGACGGUACCUAAUCAGAAAGCCACGGCUAACUACGUG